Molecule: ribosomal RNA, 253 nt
Filed under: uncultured bacterium
Lineage: Bacteria
Description: partial 16S ribosomal RNA
Rfam family: Bacterial small subunit ribosomal RNA
Source: RNAcentral
UACAGAGGGUGCAAGCGCUGCUCGGAAUUAUUGGGCGUAAAGGGUAGGUAGGUGGUCUCAUUUGUCUGGGGUGAAAUCCUUGGGCUUAACUCAAGAAGUGCCCCAGAAACGGUGAGGCUGGAGUCCUGGAGAGGGUCGUGGAAUUCCCGGUGUAGCGGUGAAAUGCGUAGAGAUCGGGAGGAACACCAGAGGCGAAGGCGGCGACCUGGACAGGUACUGACACUCAACUACGAAAGCGUGGGGAGCAAACAGG